Molecule: ribosomal RNA, 254 nt
Filed under: uncultured bacterium
Lineage: Bacteria
Description: partial 16S ribosomal RNA
Rfam family: Bacterial small subunit ribosomal RNA
Source: RNAcentral
CACGUAGGGUGCGAGCAUUGUCCGGAAUUAUUGGGCGUAAAGAGCUCGUAGGCGGUGUGUCGCGUCGGCCGUGAAAACCUGCAGCUUAACUGUGGGCUUGCGGUCGAUACGGGCAUCACUGGAGUUCGGCAGGGGAGACUGGAAUUCCUGGUGUAGCGGUGAAAUGCGCAGAUAUCAGGAGGAACACCGGUGGCGAAGGCGGGUCUCUGGGACGUGACUGACGCUGAGACGCGAAAGCGUGGGGAGCAAACAGG